Molecule: transfer RNA, 90 nt
Filed under: Bacteroidota bacterium
Lineage: Bacteria; Pseudomonadati; Bacteroidota
Description: Bacteroidetes bacterium tRNA-Ser
Rfam family: tRNA
About the family: Transfer RNA (tRNA) molecules are approximately 80 nucleotides in length.
Source: RNAcentral
GGAGAGUUGGCAGAGUGGUCGAAUGCGGUGGUCUUGAAAACCAUUGACCCUUCACGGGGUCCAGGGGUUCGAAUCCCUUACUCUCCGCAA